RNAcentral lists this long non-coding RNA (1201 nucleotides) under Camarhynchus parvulus. RNAcentral describes it as "lncRNA (ENSCPVG00000017710.1)". The record is from RNAcentral. Lineage: Eukaryota; Metazoa; Chordata; Aves; Passeriformes; Thraupidae.
ACAGCUCAUCACAGAGCCAGCAUGGGGUCACAGAGCACCCCAAAGGGAGGGACCCCCAGGCCCCAAAGUGGGGCAGGGGGCACAGCUCAGCCCCCAUGCCCAGCUGGCACAGGUGACUGCCCUGCUCCUCCAGGGCAGUGCCACCCCAAAGGCAGGACAGAGACCCUUCCCAGGCUGUCCCCGACCCUGGGUCCAGCUCUUCCCCCCUCCAAAGGGCAGCACUGGCCCAGGGGGUGCUGCAGACCCCACAGCAGAGCCCCCCUCUGUCCCUGCCAGCCCAGCCCAGCCCUGCUGGGGACAGGGACAGUCCCUGCUCCCAGCACAAACCCAAACGUGCCCCAGAGCCCCCACUCUGAGCAUUCCUGGCUGGUCCCAAGGCAGAGGCAGCCAAGACAAGCUCCAUAGCAAUGGAUUUUUAAAAACUGAAGUCUUUAUUAAAGUUUUAUCCAAAUUUUGUAACAAAAGAUACAAAAGGGCUGGAGAUCCUUAUUUCUGGGACUAGUCUGACCAAUCAAAACCUGACAGUUACUAGGCUAAUAUAAAAUCCAUACAAUCUGCUAAAAAUGCAGGGAAAAAAAAUUAGAAGUAACUGCUGCUCUGACUUUUUUUUUCUUUUCUUUUUUUUUAAAUUCCUUAAAACAUUUAUAAGUUACUCAGUUUGCAUUUUACAGGAUUAGUUCUUGUCCGAAUGGUCACAGCGACUGUACAAUGCAAGAGACACCAGCAAAGCGAGGCAGGGAGGGGGGAUGUGCUGCUGAACACACCCCACACCCCCCGGGAGGGCAGGGGAGGGCUGGAGCCUCGGCCCCGGGGGCACACGGAGCCCCCAGUGGGGAUGCCACAAAGUGCCAGUGCUUGUCUGCACCCCCGGGCUGUCCCUCUGUCUGUCCCUCCCUCCCAUUCUCCCCAGGGAUGCGCUGGCUGGACACCUCUGGGAUGGCAGGGAAGGUGGGAAUGGGGUUGGGAAUGCUGCAUGAACCUGCCUGGCUCCCCCAAAUCCUCCCUCCAGCCACCAAGGGGUGCCACCCCCACAGUGGGGACACGAGGCUGGAGCUCUGUUCCCUGCUGGGAACCCAGGAGGAGGAGGAGGAGGAGGAAGAGGAGGAUGCCCAGGCCAGGCUGGCACCAGGCUAACACGGUCUGCAGGAGCAUCGAUCACAGUGAUGGUGGUGGCUGCACAGGGCUGUGCAGUGUGAAAUGA